GUGCUUGCUUUGGCAGCACAUAUACUAAAAUUGGAAUGAUAGAGAAGAUUAGCAUGGCCCCUGCUCGAGGAUGACAUGUAAAUUCAUGAAACGUUCCAUAUUUUA
Small nuclear RNA from Zalophus californianus (California sea lion), 105 nucleotides. NCBI's taxonomy places the organism in Eukaryota, Metazoa, Chordata, Mammalia, Carnivora, Otariidae. The record is from Ensembl.